CACUUUCUGAGCUGCAGUCAACUUUUAAUAACUGUCGUCCCACUUUAUAUUGUUUCUCAAACUGUUGGAGAUAUUGUUUGAAUGGUUUUUGCAUUACAAUCGAAUGUUUUCCCAAUGUUUCACAUAUUUAGUUGUCUUGAGUGUCUCGUUUUUUACAGCUUGUGGAUAUCCUAUACAUGGUGCAUCCUUGGGAUCCAUCACUGUCCUUAAAUUUCUUAAACCACCAUUGUACUGUCCAUUCAUUUACCACAUUCUUACCAUAUGUCUGGCUUAUUUUUCUUCCUGCUGCACUAUUGUUCCCAGUUUAAACUCAUACAGCAUAUAGGCCUGUAUAACACUGUUUGGGG
This 347-nucleotide long non-coding RNA is filed under the name Androctonus crassicauda. The record is from RNAcentral. Lineage: Eukaryota; Metazoa; Arthropoda; Arachnida; Scorpiones; Buthidae.